This 371-nucleotide ribosomal RNA is filed under the name uncultured bacterium. RNAcentral describes it as "bacterial SSU rRNA". It matches the Rfam family "Bacterial small subunit ribosomal RNA", at positions 527 to 898 of the family's 1533-position model. The record is from RNAcentral.
GUAGGGUGCGAGCGUUAAUCGGAAUUACUGGGCGUAAAGCGUGCGCAGGCGGUUUGAUAAGACAGGCGUGAAAUCCCCGAGCUCAACUUGGGAAUGGCGCUUGUGACUGUCAGGCUAGAGUAUGUCAGAGGGGGGUAGAAUUCCACGUGUAGCAGUGAAAUGCGUAGAGAUGUGGAGGAAUACCGAUGGCGAAGGCAGCCCCCUGGGACGUCACUGACGCUCAUGCACGAAAGCGUGGGGAGCAAACAGGAUUAGAUACCCUGGUAGUCCACGCCCUAAACGAUGUCAACUAGUUGUUGGGGAUUCAUUUCUUCAGUAACGUAGCUAACGCGUGAAGUUGACCGCCUGGGGAGUACGGUCGCAAGAUUAAA